CCAAAGCACACUAAAAAAUAUGAAAACAUUUGAAACAAGCGUCUUCCAUUUUCCAAUCUCAGUUUCCGUGUGAAAGUGUUGUGAAGUGCUUCCAUCUUGGGAAAUAACGACAACAAAUUAUAUGAAUAUGAAUAUAGGAAAAAUUCGGAAGGAGUUGAGGUGACCUUUUAGGUCGAAGAAAAGAAAUGAUCUAGGGGUCUUAGAGCACAGUCUUGUCCCUUUUUGGGCUGGGCUGCUAAGGGAUCUCCCCGAAAUCAUUUCCAACUCUAGCCAUCGAGGGACCAAGAGCGAAAAAGCAAGAUAUAUAAACGUCAAU
Long non-coding RNA from Coccinella septempunctata (seven-spotted ladybird), 316 nucleotides. RefSeq lists it as uncharacterized. The record is from RefSeq and is a predicted model, not a curated record. NCBI's taxonomy places the organism in Eukaryota, Metazoa, Arthropoda, Insecta, Coleoptera, Coccinellidae. The transcript is spliced from 2 exons.